GCCAGGCAUGGAGGCAUUUGUCUGUAAUCCCAAUUAGUGGGGAGACUGAAACUAGUAGCUUUCUUUAGCUCAGGAGUUCAGUGAUUCCAUGAACUAAGCUCAGUUGGGGUCUGCACUAAUUCUGGCAUUAAUGUGACAAGUCUGGGAAUGGGGGCCACCAGAUUGCCUAAGAGGGACAUACUGGCCCAGGCCAGAAAACAGAGCAGGUCAAAGUUCCUGUGUUGAUCAGAGUGGGACCAGUCUGUGAAUAGCCCUUGCACUCCAGGCUGGGUAAGAUAGAGAACUUCAGUCUUUU
This is an unclassified non-coding RNA of Monodelphis domestica (gray short-tailed opossum), 295 nucleotides long. It matches the Rfam family "Metazoan signal recognition particle RNA". Rfam says of the family: The signal recognition particle (SRP) is a universally conserved ribonucleoprotein. It is involved in the co-translational targeting of proteins to membranes. The record is from Ensembl. NCBI's taxonomy places the organism in Eukaryota, Metazoa, Chordata, Mammalia, Didelphimorphia, Didelphidae.